Molecule: ribosomal RNA, 377 nt
Filed under: uncultured bacterium
Lineage: Bacteria
Description: bacterial SSU rRNA
Rfam family: Bacterial small subunit ribosomal RNA
Source: RNAcentral
UAAGACGGAGGGUGCGAGCGUUGUCCGGAAUUACUGGGCGUAAAGCGCGCGUAGGCGGCUAUCUAAGUCACCUGUGAAAUUCCGGAGCUCAACUCCGCGGGUGCAUGUGAUACUAGGUGGCUAGAGCACGGUAGAGGCGAGUGGAAUUCCCGGUGUAGCGGUGGAAUGCGUAGAUAUCGGGAGGAACACCGAAGGCGAAGGCAGCUCUCUGGGCCAAUACUGACGCUGAGGCACGAAAGCGUGGGGAGCAAACAGGAUUAGAUACCCUGGUAGUCCACGCUGUAAACGAUGGGCACUUGGUGGUGGGGGAUUCGACCCCUUCACUGUCGGAGCUAACGCGUUAAGUGCUCCGCCUGGGGACUACGACCGCAAGGUUG